GGUCCUGCGCAUGCGCCGUGCGUAGCACGCUGGAGUCCGCCCUGCUUUGGCGGCUGUACGGGGUAAACUGCUGAAGACAAUGAAGAAGGGUCUUGGGGACCGGGACGUGAGGCGGUUUGCGCGGCAUUUGCUAUUCUAUCUUUAUGUGAUAAGUGUUUCCCUACCAGAACCAGGCUUCAGGCAUGAUUUGGGUGUUUUUUCCAGGCCUAGUUCUCUAGCCCUUCUAGUGCUUCGGUCUCCCUGGAGUUUUUAACAAUCAGAAUUGUCCACGCUGAGCUUCCAGAAAUCCAUCAGUGACAGCUUUGGUUUUCCUACCCUGGCCAUGGUUCCCAUUGAGAUUUCUGCUUGUGGG
Molecule: long non-coding RNA, 352 nt
Organism: Balaenoptera acutorostrata (minke whale)
Lineage: Eukaryota; Metazoa; Chordata; Mammalia; Artiodactyla; Balaenopteridae
Exons: 3
Source: RefSeq, a predicted model, not a curated record